RNAcentral lists this ribosomal RNA (1693 nucleotides) under Staphylococcus aureus. RNAcentral's name for it is "partial 23S ribosomal RNA". It matches the Rfam family "Bacterial large subunit ribosomal RNA", at positions 357 to 2054 of the family's 2925-position model. Lineage: Bacteria; Bacillati; Bacillota; Bacilli; Caryophanales; Staphylococcaceae. The record is from RNAcentral.
AAAGAAGGUAAUAAUCCUGUAGUCGAAAAUGUUGUCUCUCUUGAGUGGAUCCUGAGUACGACGGAGCACGUGAAAUUCCGUCGGAAUCUGGGAGGACCAUCUCCUAAGGCUAAAUACUCUCUAGUGACCGAUAGUGAACCAGUACCGUGAGGGAAAGGUGAAAAGCACCCCGGAAGGGGAGUGAAAUAGAACCUGAAACCGUGUGCUUACAAGUAGUCAGAGCCCGUUAAUGGGUGAUGGCGUGCCUUUUGUAGAAUGAACCGGCGAGUUACGAUUUGAUGCAAGGUUAAGCAGUAAAUGUGGAGCCGUAGCGAAAGCGAGUCUGAAUAGGGCGUUUAGUAUUUGGUCGUAGACCCGAAACCAGGUGAUCUACCCUUGGUCAGGUUGAAGUUCAGGUAACACUGAAUGGAGGACCGAACCGACUUACGUUGAAAAGUGAGCGGAUGAACUGAGGGUAGCGGAGAAAUUCCAAUCGAACCUGGAGAUAGCUGGUUCUCUCCGAAAUAGCUUUAGGGCUAGCCUCAAGUGAUGAUUAUUGGAGGUAGAGCACUGUUUGGACGAGGGGCCCCUCUCGGGUUACCGAAUUCAGACAAACUCCGAAUGCCAAUUAAUUUAACUUGGGAGUCAGAACAUGGGUGAUAAGGUCCGUGUUCGAAAGGGAAACAGCCCAGACCACCAGCUAAGGUCCCAAAAUAUAUGUUAAGUGGAAAAGGAUGUGGCGUUGCCCAGACAACUAGGAUGUUGGCUUAGAAGCAGCCAUCAUUUAAAGAGUGCGUAAUAGCUCACUAGUCGAGUGACACUGCGCCGAAAAUGUACCGGGGCUAAACAUAUUACCGAAGCUGUGGAUUGUCCUUUGGACAAUGGUAGGAGAGCGUUCUAAGGGCGUUGAAGCAUGAUCGUAAGGACAUGUGGAGCGCUUAGAAGUGAGAAUGCCGGUGUGAGUAGCGAAAGACGGGUGAGAAUCCCGUCCACCGAUUGACUAAGGUUUCCAGAGGAAGGCUCGUCCGCUCUGGGUUAGUCGGGUCCUAAGCUGAGGCCGACAGGCGUAGGCGAUGGAUAACAGGUUGAUAUUCCUGUACCACCUAUAAUCGUUUUAAUCGAUGGGGGGACGCAGUAGGAUAGGCGAAGCGUGCGAUUGGAUUGCACGUCUAAGCAGUAAGGCUGAGUAUUAGGCAAAUCCGGUACUCAUUAAGGCUGAGCUGUGAUGGGGAGAAGACAUUGUGUCUUCGAGUCGUUGAUUUCACACUGCCGAGAAAAGCCUCUAGAUAGAAAAUAGGUGCCCGUACCGCAAACCGACACAGGUAGUCAAGAUGAGAAUUCUAAGGUGAGCGAGCGAACUCUCGUUAAGGAACUCGGCAAAAUGACCCCGUAACUUCGGGAGAAGGGGUGCUCUUUAGGGUUAACGCCCAGAAGAGCCGCAGUGAAUAGGCCCAAGCGACUGUUUAUCAAAAACACAGGUCUCUGCUAAACCGUAAGGUGAUGUAUAGGGGCUGACGCCUGCCCGGUGCUGGAAGGUUAAGAGGAGUGGUUAGCUUCUGCGAAGCUACGAAUCGAAGCCCCAGUAAACGGCGGCCGUAACUAUAACGGUCCUAAGGUAGCGAAAUUCCUUGUCGGGUAAGUUCCGACCCGCACGAAAGGCGUAACGAUUUGGGCACUGUCUCAACGAGAGACUCGGUGAAAUCAUAGUACCUGU